GAAGGUGUGCUGUGAGGCAUGCUGGAGGUAUCAGAAGUGCGAAUGCUGACAUAAGUAACGAUAAAGCGGGUGAAAAGCCCGCUCGCCGGAAGACCAAGGGUUCCUGUCCAACGUUAAUCGGGGCAGGGUGAGUCGACCCCUAAGGCGAGGCCGAAAGGCGUAGUCGAUGGGAAACAGGUUAAUAUUCCUGUACUUGGUGUUACUGCGAAGGGGGGACGGAGAAGGCUAUGUUGGCCGGGCGACGGUUGUCCCGGUUUAAGCGUGUAGGCUGGUUUUCCAGGCAAAUCCGGAAAAUCAAGGCUGAGGCGUGAUGACGAGGCACUACGGUGCUGAAGCAACAAAUGCCCUGCUUCCAGGAAAAGCCUCUAAGCAUCAGGUAACAUCAAAUCGUACCCCAAACCGACACAGGUGGUCAGGUAGAGAAUACCAAGGCGCUUGAGAGAACUCGGGUGAAGGAACUAGGCAAAAUGGUGCCGUAACUUCGGGAGAAGGCACGC
This 497-nucleotide ribosomal RNA is filed under the name Escherichia coli. RNAcentral describes it as "partial 23S ribosomal RNA". It matches the Rfam family "Bacterial large subunit ribosomal RNA", at positions 1252 to 1751 of the family's 2925-position model. Lineage: Bacteria; Pseudomonadati; Pseudomonadota; Gammaproteobacteria; Enterobacterales; Enterobacteriaceae. The record is from RNAcentral.